This 253-nucleotide ribosomal RNA is filed under the name uncultured bacterium. Its description in RNAcentral is "partial 16S ribosomal RNA". It matches the Rfam family "Bacterial small subunit ribosomal RNA", at positions 524 to 776 of the family's 1533-position model. The record is from RNAcentral.
UACGGGGGGGGCAAGCGUUGUUCGGAAUUACUGGGCGUAAAGGGCUCGUAGGCGGCCAACUAAGUCGGACGUGAAAUCCCUCGGCUUAACCGGUGAACUGCAUCCGAUACUGGAAGGCUCGAGUUUGGGAGAGGGAUGCGGAAUUCCAGGUGUAGCGGUGAAAUGCGUAGAUAUCUGGAGGAACACCGGUGGCGAAGGCGGCAUCCUGGACCAACACUGACGCUGAGGAGCGAAAGCCAGGGGAGCAAACGGG